Oncorhynchus tshawytscha (Chinook salmon) is the source of this 787-nucleotide long non-coding RNA. Lineage: Eukaryota; Metazoa; Chordata; Actinopteri; Salmoniformes; Salmonidae. The record is from Ensembl.
AUAUUGAGCAGUUAUUAGCCUUCAGAUCCAGAAUGUUCCAGAGGACUUUAUCACGCAAAAUGCAUUGUGACCAAGACUAAACAGUUCUCUCAUGGAUAACGGUCAAAUACUGACCCGGUCACACAGUUAGGUCUCACAAAAAGAAGUCUGACUUUUAGUUUUUAGUAAAACUUACAUUCAAUUUUAAUAUGUUAUGCUUCAAAAACAUAACAUGUACUUAUCUGUCGAGCGAUCUACCACUAAAACAUUUUAUAUAUGUAUCCUUUAUCAAGGUUAUAGUAGAACCAGGUUAAAAUAGGACCAGGUUAUAGUAGGACCAGGUUAUAGUAGGACCAGGUUAUAGUAGGUCAGAGUACCAAGGGAUGUAGGACAAGGUUAUAGUAGGACCAGGUUAUAGUAGGACCAUGUUAUAGUAGGACCAUGUUAUAGUAGGACCAGGUUAUAGUAGGACCAGGUUAUAGUAGGACCAUGUUAUAGUAGGACCAGGUUAUAGUAGGACCAUGUUAUAGUAGGACCAGGUUAUAGUAGGACCAGGUUAUAGUAGGACAGAGUACCAAGGGAUGUAGGACCAGGUUAUAGUAGUACCAAGGCCCAACUCAGGCCUACAUUCAAUCAGAUCAGCGUUAAAGCCAUACUGCCAAUUUCUGGCAUUUUUUCUGCUUCCCCAUGUAGCUCCCUUCAGUAACCACGAGCACAACCGUUCCUUGAUUUUAACUGGCGGCUUUAUUCUGUAGUUUUAGUCAGAAUUAUCACCUUCCGUGAGAACUAUAAAGUAAAUGAAAAAUAC